GACGAACGCUGGCGGCGUGCCUAAUACAUGCAAGUAGAACGCUGAAGAGAGGAGCUUGCUCUUCUUGGAUGAGUUGCGAACGGGUGAGUAACGCGUAGGUAACCUGCCUUGUAGCGGGGGAUAACUAUUGGAAACGAUAGCUAAUACCGCAUAACAAUAGGUGACACAUGUCAUUUAUUUGAAAGGGGCAAUUGCUCCACUACAAGAUGGACCUGCGUUGUAUUAGCUAGUAGGUGAGGUAACGGCUCACCUAGGCGACGAUACAUAGCCGACCUGAGAGGGUGAUCGGCCACACUGGGACUGAGACACGGCCCAGACUCCUACGGGAGGCAGCAGUAGGGAAUCUUCGGCAAUGGGGGCAACCCUGACCGAGCAACGCCGCGUGAGUGAAGAAGGUUUUCGGAUCGUAAAGCUCUGUUGUAAGUCAAGAACGAGUGUGAGAGUGGAAAGUUCACACUGUGACGGUAGCUUACCAGAAAGGGACGGCUAACUACGUGCCAGCAGCCGCGGUAAUACGUAGGUCCCGAGCGUUGUCCGGAUUUAUUGGGCGUAAAGCGAGCGCAGGCGGUUUGAUAAGUCUGAAGUUAAGGCUGUGGCUCAACCAUAGUUCGCUUUGGAAACUGUCAAACUUGAGUGCAGAAGGGGAGAGUGGAAUUCCAUGUGUAGCGGUGAAAUGCGUAGAUAUAUGGAGGAACACCGGUGGCGAAAGCGGCUCUCUGGUCUGUAACUGACGCUGAGGCUCGAAAGCGUGGGGAGCGAACAGGAUUAGAUACCCUGGUAGUCCACGCCGUAAACGAUGAGUGCUAGGUGUUGGAUCCUUUCCGGGAUUCAGUGCCGCAGCUAACGCAUUAAGCACUCCGCCUGGGGAGUACGACCGCAAGGUUGAAACUCAAAGGAAUUGACGGGGGCCCGCACAAGCGGUGGAGCAUGUGGUUUAAUUCGAAGCAACGCGAAGAACCUUACCAGGUCUUGACAUCCCGAUGCUAUUUCUAGAGAUAGAAAGUUACUUCGGUACAUCGGUGACAGGUGGUGCAUGGUUGUCGUCAGCUCGUGUCGUGAGGUGUUGGGUUAAGUCCCGCAACGAGCGCAACCCCUAUUGUUAGUUGCCAUCAUUCAGUUGGGCACUCUAGCGAGACUGCCGGUAAUAAACCGGAGGAAGGUGGGGAUGACGUCAAAUCAUCAUGCCCCUUAUGACCUGGGCUACACACGUGCUACAAUGGUUGGUACAACGAGUUGCGAGUCGGUGACGGCAAGCUAAUCUCUUAAAGCCAAUCUCAGUUCGGAUUGUAGGCUGCAACUCGCCUACAUGAAGUCGGAAUCGCUAGUAAUCGCGGAUCAGCACGCCGCGGUGAAUACGUUCCCGGGCCU
RNAcentral lists this ribosomal RNA (1368 nucleotides) under uncultured bacterium. RNAcentral's name for it is "bacterial SSU rRNA". It matches the Rfam family "Bacterial small subunit ribosomal RNA", at positions 28 to 1381 of the family's 1533-position model. The record is from RNAcentral.